GUGCCAGCAGCCGCGGUAAUACGUAGGGCGCAAGCGUUGUCCGGAAUUAUUGGGCGUAAAGAGCUCGUAGGUGGCUUGUCGCGUCUGUCGUGAAAGCCCGGGGCUUAACUCCGGGUCUGCGGUGGAUACGGGCAGGCUAGAGGCAGGUAGGGGAGAAUGGAAUUCCCGGUGUAGCGGUGAAAUGCGCAGAUAUCGGGAGGAACACCGGUGGCGAAGGCGGUUCUCUGGGCCUGUACUGACGCUGAGGAGCGAAAGCGUGGGGAGCGAACAGGAUUAGAUACCCGUGUAGUCC
Molecule: ribosomal RNA, 292 nt
Filed under: uncultured bacterium
Lineage: Bacteria
Description: partial 16S ribosomal RNA
Rfam family: Bacterial small subunit ribosomal RNA
Source: RNAcentral